RNAcentral lists this transfer RNA (66 nucleotides) under marine eukaryotic metagenome. It matches the Rfam family "tRNA". From Rfam's summary of the family: Transfer RNA (tRNA) molecules are approximately 80 nucleotides in length. Their secondary structure includes four short double-helical elements and three loops (D, anti-codon, and T loops). The record is from RNAcentral.
GGGCGUAGUUCAAUGGUAGAACGGAAGCCUUCCAAGCUUCACACGUGGGUUCGAUUCCCAUCGCCC